Molecule: non-coding RNA, 73 nt
Organism: Myotis lucifugus (little brown bat)
Lineage: Eukaryota; Metazoa; Chordata; Mammalia; Chiroptera; Vespertilionidae
Source: Rfam
GCUGGUUUGGCUCAGUGGGUAGAGCGUUGGCCUGUGGACCAAAGGAUCUCAGGUUUGAUUCCUGUCAAGGGCA